RNAcentral lists this ribosomal RNA (807 nucleotides) under uncultured bacterium. RNAcentral's name for it is "bacterial SSU rRNA". It matches the Rfam family "Bacterial small subunit ribosomal RNA", at positions 40 to 859 of the family's 1533-position model. The record is from RNAcentral.
CANCGCGGCUACCAUGCAGUCGAACGGAAAGGCCCUGCUUUUGUGGGGUGCUCGAGUGGCGAACGGGUGAGUAACACGUGAGUAACCUGCCCUUGACUUUGGGAUAACUUCAGGAAACUGGGGCUAAUACCGGAUAGGAGCUCCUGCUGCAUGGUGGGGGUUGGAAAGUUUCGGCGGUUGGGGAUGGACUCGCGGCUUAUCAGCUUGUUGGUGGGGUAGUGGCUUACCAAGGCUUUGGCGGGUAGCCGGCCUGAGAGGGUGACCGGCCACAUUGGGACUGAGAUACGGCCCAGACUCCUACGGGAGGCAGCAGUGGGGAAUAUUGCACAAUGGGCGGAAGCCUGAUGCAGCAACGCCGCGUGCGGGAUGACGGCCUUCGGGUUGUAAACCGCUUUCGCCUGUGACGAAGCGUGAGUGACGGUAAUGGGUAAAGAAGCACCGGCUAACUACGUGCCAGCAGCCGCGGUGAUACGUAGGGUGCGAGCGUUGUCCGGAUUUAUUGGGCGUAAAGGGCUCGUAGGUGGUUGAUCGCGUCGGAAGUGUAAUCUUGGGGCUUAACCCUGAGCGUGCUUUCGAUACGGGUUGACUUGAGGAAGGUAGGGGAGAAUGGAAUUCCUGGUGGAGCGGUGGAAUGCGCAGAUAUCAGGAGGAACACCAGUGGCGAAGGCGGUUCUCUGGGCCUUUCCUGACGCUGAGGAGCGAAAGCGUGGGGAGCGAACAGGCUUAGAUACCCUGGUAGUCCACGCUGUAAACGGUGGGUACUAGGUGUGGGGUCCAUUCCACGGGUUCCGUGCCGUANCUAACGCU